GCCUGGGUGGCUCAGUUGGUUGGGCAUCUGACUUCGGCUCAGGUCAUGAUCUCGCUGUUUGUGGGUUUGAGCCCCGCGUUGGGCU
RNAcentral lists this transfer RNA (85 nucleotides) under Felis catus (domestic cat). It matches the Rfam family "tRNA". From Rfam's summary of the family: Transfer RNA (tRNA) molecules are approximately 80 nucleotides in length. Their secondary structure includes four short double-helical elements and three loops (D, anti-codon, and T loops). The record is from Rfam by way of RNAcentral. Lineage: Eukaryota; Metazoa; Chordata; Mammalia; Carnivora; Felidae.